This 21-nucleotide microRNA is filed under the name Medicago truncatula (barrel medic). Its description in RNAcentral is "mtr-miR2636". Lineage: Eukaryota; Viridiplantae; Streptophyta; Magnoliopsida; Fabales; Fabaceae. The record is from miRBase by way of RNAcentral.
UUUGGUUAGUGUGCUGAAUAU